Non-coding RNA from Dendryphion nanum, 106 nucleotides. The record is from the annotation of a GenBank genome assembly. Lineage: Eukaryota; Fungi; Ascomycota; Dothideomycetes; Pleosporales; Torulaceae.
GCUUCCUUGGUGUAGUUGGUUAUCACGUGGGUCUCAUAUCAAACAUAUGAUUUGGCAACAUGCCAGAGCGAUCCCAAGGCCGCCAGUUCGAGUCUGGCAGGGAGCA